AGUCACUGACAUUAGAUACCCGCGUAGUCCAGGGUGUAAACGCUGCAGACUUGGUGGUUCGGGGGCCCGUUUGGGGGCAUUCAGUGCCGGAGAGAAGUUGUUAAGUCUGCUACGUUGGGAGUACGUCCGCAAGGAUAGAAACUUAAAGGAAUUGGCGGGGGAGCACCGCAACGGGAGGAGCGUGCGGUUUAAUUGGAUUCAACACCGUAAAACUCACCAGGGAAGACUGUUACAUGAAGGCCGAGAUGAAGACUCUGCUAGAUUUUCAG
RNAcentral lists this ribosomal RNA (269 nucleotides) under uncultured archaeon. Its description in RNAcentral is "partial 16S ribosomal RNA". It matches the Rfam family "Archaeal small subunit ribosomal RNA", at positions 716 to 982 of the family's 1478-position model. The record is from RNAcentral.